RNAcentral lists this ribosomal RNA (293 nucleotides) under uncultured Desulfovibrio sp. RNAcentral's name for it is "partial 16S ribosomal RNA". It matches the Rfam family "Bacterial small subunit ribosomal RNA", at positions 1086 to 1382 of the family's 1533-position model. The record is from RNAcentral. Lineage: Bacteria; Pseudomonadati; Thermodesulfobacteriota; Desulfovibrionia; Desulfovibrionales; Desulfovibrionaceae.
CCCGCAACGAGCGCAACCCUACUUGCCAGUUGCUACCAGGUAUGCUGGGCACUCUGGUGAGCUGCCCCGGUUAACGGGGAGGAAGUGGGACGACGUCAAGUCAUCAUGGCCCUUACGCCUAGGGCUACACACGUACUACAAUGGCGCAUACAAAGGGCAGCGAUACCGCGAGGUGGAGCCAAUCCCAAAAAGUGCGUCCCAGUCCGGAUUGCAGUCUGCAACUCGACUGCAUGAAGUUGGAAUCGCUAGUAAUUCGAGAUCAGCAUGCUCGGGUGAAUGCGUUCCCGGGCCUU